This is a non-coding RNA of Ictidomys tridecemlineatus (thirteen-lined ground squirrel), 72 nucleotides long. The record is from Rfam. NCBI's taxonomy places the organism in Eukaryota, Metazoa, Chordata, Mammalia, Rodentia, Sciuridae.
GGGGUUGUGGCUCAGAGGUGGAGUGCUUGCCUACCAUGCAUGAGGUACUGGGUUCGAUCCUCAGCAUCACAU